This is a long non-coding RNA of Talpa occidentalis (Iberian mole), 689 nucleotides long. RefSeq lists it as uncharacterized. NCBI's taxonomy places the organism in Eukaryota, Metazoa, Chordata, Mammalia, Eulipotyphla, Talpidae. The transcript is spliced from 3 exons. The record is from RefSeq and is a predicted model, not a curated record.
GGUGAGAGAAUUCACCAGAGCCAGAGGAUCUGCGCGACAUGUGGGACCCUCCUCUGGUGGCUGGGGAGCAGCCGGGGAUCUUCAGCAGCGGGCAGCUUCGCAACCCAGCGCUCACCUGCUGCGCCACCGGGGAGGCCCUCAAAACUCAGGGCACUCAGGAAAGAAGGACACUCCACUUACCCACUUGAUAAACCUGAUAAUUAUGCGCCCUGUGACAAGGAAGGAAAGAAGUGGCAUUGCAUAUAACUGAUGUUACAGAAGAAAAAGAAUCAAUGUCUGGAGAAUUCAAUGUUUCCUUUUUGGAUUCCUGCAAGAAAACCCUUGUGGUCUCAAAACUCAUGGGACCAUCUGUGCAAAUAACAGCACAUAUCAUUACCCUGAAUGGAAGUGACAGUGCAAAUAUUAGAAGUGCAUUGAGAAGUAAUCAGUAAGAACCGACCUCCUCCCUCUCUCAACCACUAUGGGGUGAAGGGUUGAAUGUAGAACAUUCCAAGCAAUUGAUGACAAAUGCUGUAAAUCCACUAUGGCUAUGAGGGUGGACACGAGGUGCCAAACACCCUCUCUUCUCUCCAAAUGCUAUUUGCUGCUGCAAUGCUCCUCUGCUUCUUCAGUUUUCUUUGUUGUCUACAUAUAGAUUUUGAAAUGUGAGUAAUUCUGGCUAGAGAUACUUCCUACCUCUCAACUUUCAC